AAAAAAUAAAUUUUUUCAAAAUUCCGAGGGAAUGGAGUUCCUCGGAAUAUUCCGAGGAACUUUCUCCCCUCGGAAAAUUCCGACGAACUUUAAGUUCCUCGGAAUUUUCCGAGGGAAUAAGUUCCUCGGAAUUUUCCGAGGGAAUAAGUUCCUCGGAAUUUUCCGAGAAACUCCAUUCCCUCGGAAUUUUCCGAAGGAAGAAAGUUCCUCGGAAAAUUUCGAGGAACAUUUGUUCCUCGGUAUUUUUGGAUAAACAUUCCGAGGAAUAUUUCGUCGAAACUUCCGAGGAUUGGACCAUCGGAAUUCCCUCGGUAUUUUCCGAGGAACCUUCCGACGAACUUCGUGUCCUCGGAGUUUCCUCGGAAUUCCGUCGGAAUUUUCCGACGGAAUUCCGAGGAAGUAUGAAUUUCCGAGGAGAUAUUUCCGAGGACUUGUUUCGUCGGUAUGUCCUCGGAAUAGCGUUAUUCCGACGACAUACCGACGAUUUUUUCCCUCAAGAUCCCGAUGUUUUCUUGUAGUGCUAGGAUCAUAGGAUGUUGUUAACUGGUCCGGCUAGAUGAAUGGUAAGACCUUCGUGAAUGGUUGUUUAAUGAAUUAAGUGUUACACCGAGAACGGAUGGCGUAAAAAAAUAAAGAAUGAAUGAGUCUAAGGAAUCAGAAAAAAAGGAAAUGAAAGGAAAUAGGAAAGUUGAAUGAUUGAAUUAUAAGCCACCCAGAAAGGAUGGGUAGACAGGAAACAAGAGGGCGUAGCGUUCAAAAACGGUGGAAAUGCGGGGUCGUAGCAUUCAAAAAUGGCGGAUUAAGAUUAUAGGCGCCGGUAAGAUUGAUUCACACCGAGUCUUGACGGGAAGGGAUCAUAAUACACUGCAAGGGCGAACCACAUCCAAGGGACAGAAUGUUGAGAAUACCAGAGCAGGCGGGUCCAUAGGGAUGCAGCAAGAAAGGGGUGGGUUGGAUCGCUUGAGUUGUGUAGGUCAUAGAGUUUUAGGAUGAUUGAAGUCUUAAGUCAAAUUAUGUGUAUUGAGUGAUGACUGAGAUCAUUGCAUUGCUUGAUUUCGUGAAAUGGGACUGUUACAGUUAGUUACGUAAGUUGCGUUAAAUUAAGUGUAGUGACUAGUCGGUUCUCGUUUCGCAUUGAGUAGCAUAGAGGCUCAUUGUUGUGGUCAUGAAAUCCAUGGUUCAACCAGAGUCUCACCAAACCGUCCAAACCGGCCAUCUAGGAGGUAACAGCGACCGAGGUUCAGUCCAAGGCGUAUAUCUCCACAACCAGAAGGACUUUCAACAUGGAACCAAUAGUAUUGGAUUCUACACUCAAGAAUGAGUCCAGCAAAAACUGGAAUCGGGCCAAAAUAUUCACGGAGCAAGAAGUUAUAAUUUUACAUGUCAGAGGUUGUCCAGCCCGUUUAUCUACGAGUACCCGACUUUAGAAGUAGUUUAAAGCCCAAGGAAGGAGCGUCCUGAACCAAAGCCCAUCAUAGGAUUCAAUAGGGAUCUAUCAGCUUUUCAGAAACCCCAAUAUCAGGAGAAAUUGACACGGAAAUCAGAAGUUAUGAUCAAUAUCCCAAAACCGGCCAAACCAUUCUGCACUUACCUCAAUUGGAAGCUAACCGGUUCAAUCAGCUUCAAAACAGACAUUGGCGAGCAGGAGAUCAUUUCAACAAAUCAGGAGGUAUUCUAGGCGUCCAGGAGGAGGUCUACAAGUUUAUACCAUGCACCAGCAACCAUUGGAUCAGGAGGAUCCUCAUUUACUCAAACCUGCCUUAUUUGGAGCAAACCGACACUAAUGUCCAACAGCUCUUUUUAUAUCAAGCUAUGGACGAGAUCAGAACCUUUCAAGCCAUCCAGAAGAACCCAAGUAAGCUAUCUUAUCCAUUAAAACCGUCCAGGUUCAAGAAGAAUCAAGUUUCUCACUUGAAGCCAAAAUCCCAUAAAAGGCUCCAACGGCUAGUUUUCGAUUUUGUUACUUUGCUUGAUUUGUUUCCUUUUCUAUUUGUUUUAGAAUGUUAGGAAAUUUGUCUCUGAGCAUUAUAUAAGCUCCUAAAUGUGCAUUGUAAAGAGCACCCCUCAAUCAUCUAAGAAUUUAUAAAAGUUAUUCAGUUUUUAUCAAAGAGUGUUCUUUGCAUAAAAUAUCGGUCUUUAGGAUUUUCUUUGUUGUUCUAUUGUUUUCGUGACUCGUGAGUCUAGUUUGUUUGUGAAAAUCAAACAAGUUCAGUAUACAUAUUGAGAGAGUCAAUCACCUUGUUUCGAUCAUCCAUCAGAUUGAGAGAUUCAAUCAAACCUUCAUCCGCAAAUCCACUUCAAUCCAUUAUUUGAUCAAGCUGAGAGUGAUACACAUCCAGCAGCUUGAUUCCACCUCAUCAAUCCUUUUUCUUUCAUUUAAUUAUUCUUAUUAUUGUUAUUAUCAUCAUCAUCUCAUUCGUUUUGCAUUUGUUUCAGGUUUACACCUUGAUUUCAAUCAUAUCUCCCACCCGAUCAUCUAUUUGGUCGAUCUAUCCAAACCUCAGGCCAUCCAUCCGACCAGCCUGAAUCUGUCCCCAAAACAUUUUGGUAUCAGAGAUCAAGCUCCUGACUAAGGUAUAUCUAUCGUUGCAUCAUAUUUAAUUUGCCUGCAUUUGUUUUCAUCAUAAACCGAAAAUCCAUAAAAACUGUUUCUUUGUUUCAAGUUUUAUUCAUGCAUUUGUUUUUGUGUUCUUUCUCUUCAUCCUUUUAAAAGCCACGAAAAAGAAAAGAAAAAGUCUUGUUUGAUUCAUUAAAAAUCGAAGAUCCCCAAAAGAAAUGUGUUUGUUUCCUUUUUGUUUUGUUUCCAUAAUCAAAAAUCCCAUAAAAAUUGUUGUUUUGAAUUUGUUUCCUUUUCAUUUGCAUCCAUAAACUUAAAAGCCAAAAUAAAUCAUUCUCAGUAUUCUCAUACCAUUUCUAGUUGUCCAUUUCGUGCUUGCAUCAAGAAAACCAAAUAAAAAUAUUGCAUCUUAGACUCUUAGUUUAAAUCAUUCUUGCAUAUUGUUGGAUUAAUUGUUUGCAUAUUAAGAAAACUCAAAAAAAAAAAAAAUUCAGCAAUUAAUUUGCUUUACAUAUUUUCGCUUCAUUUAUGUUUAGUAUCAUUUCAGAUAGUCUCCAUUCGAUUUGCAUUGAGAAAACCAAAAGAAAAAUCAUUUUUGCAUAGUUUAUUUCAUUUUGGUUCAUAAUUGCAUAUUUCUCGGUUUAGGUUUAAUAAGCUUGCAUUAUUCAUUUGGUUCGACCAACACUUCCCAUAUCUUCACUUGAUCUUUUAGAUUGGUUGCAGGGAGAAAUGGAAGAGGCAGCAUAAGGCCAAGCUUUAAUAGCCUCUCAAAAACAGCUAUUGGCCGCUAUAACAGGAGUACAAUAUCAGAUUGCUCAGCUGGAGAGAAGAAACAAGGCACAAGCCAACGUACACACAAAGGAAAAAGAAGUUUUGGAGAUGCACCUGAGGCUGUCUAUGUUGAACCCAAGCCACCAGAUCCUUCAAGCAUCUGUCAAACUCCAAUUUCUAAAACCCACAACCCUCAUGUUGUUAAUUCUCGGUUUGAUUAUAAUUCCUUUGCUGAUAAAAUGGAACUCUUUACAUUUUUAGGAGGAAGAAGCUACCUAACAUGGGAGAGGAACCUUGAUGAAUGGUUUCACUACAACAACAUUCUGAAGGAAGAGAGGCUAUCUUAUGCCAUUGAUCAACUAAGAGGUAAUGCCUUUAAAUGGUGGGUACAAGAAGAAGAUUAUAGAUGGUUUACAAGGAGUCAGCUAUCAAAACGUGGAGAGAUCUUAAGGAAGUCAUGAGGGAUGAAUUUGCACCAGAACUCACAAGUUCUAAGACCCAAAAGAUAUACCCAAGGAGGUAUCUAGCUCUUGGUUCCAAAGAAAAAUCAGAACCUGUUAUUGUCCAAGUAAAGGCUAAGGUAAGUCCUACACUUGAUAAAUUUGUUUAUAAAUCAUUUCCCACUGGUAUGAGUCACUUGUCUUUGUCCAAGAAUGUUAAGACAGGUCCUGAGAUCCAGAAAGACACGAUCUCCCCAUCCUUGUUGAGAUCAAAAGUUGUCCAUGAUUUAAGUCCAAGAGACAAGGAGAUUUUAAACCCAAAUAAAGAAGAGCCAUCAAGCCAAGGUAAGUCUUCUAACUCUGAGGAUUUGAAAUAUCAGACAUGUUAUAGAUGUCAUAAGAAAGGAAACUAUGCUGUAGUUUGUCCUACUAAGCAAGCAUUGAUAGAAACAUCACUAGAAGAGAAAACAGAUUUAUCUAUGAAAAGUGAUAGUUUUAUUCAAUCUGAUUUAUUGGUUUCAAGUUCUUGUGUAAUGCACUUGUCUUUGUCAAAAAGUGUUGUAACAGGACUUAAGGAGGAAGAAUUCAAAAGAAAGGAAUCACCAGGCGUCACCCUUGUGAUAGACCAGAAGAUGGUUCAAGACACAAAGCUGUCCAUGUUGCUUAAAGAAGCAAAACCGGUCAUAAAAAUAUCCCACCAAGGUAAGUGUCUAACACCACCUUUGGACACUAGUACUGACGUGUGUGUUCUUGGUACAGGGAGAACAAAUGAAAUCUAUAAGCUUAUUGAAGUUCCAAAGAAAGAACCAGACCAUAAACUCAGUUAUGAACCCACUCCCAAGUGGAAACCGAAAUCUGACCAAUCCAUUGUUCAAGUUCCAAAACCUAUGGUAAGAUUCAUUUUAGAUCAGCAUUUUCUUAAUAUUUCAAUGACAGAUAUAAUGCACUUGCUUUUUGUCCAGCAUGUUGAGAAAUUUUCAGGUUGCAAAGAAGAAAGCCUUCAAAGAAAUCCCACCAGAUUAUCUUAUGUUGCUAGGAGGAUCAACUCCAAAGAUGAUCAGAAACUUGGCCACCAAACCCUUGAAGAACCAUCCACUCCAGAAGAGAUGAAAUGGCCAUAAACAUAGCAGAGUCGUGAUCCUUUCACACCUUUUCAAAGAAGAGCCACCAGAUGCACCAUGCAUUACCAACCCAAUAUUUUAUCAAGGUAAGGUUCUAGAAUCUCAAAAGAGAAUGAAAACUGACUUGCUCUAUUCUAGGGCAAGUUAUACAGUUUUGAGGUCGAAACCUUGUCAAGUAGGAGGGGAUGUUGUGGUCACGAAAUCCAUGGUUCAACCAGAGUCUCACCAAACCUUCCAAACCGGCCAUCUAGGAGGUACCAGCGACCGAGGUUCAGUCCAAGGCAUAUAUCUCCACAACCAGAAGGACUUUCAACAUGAAACAAAUUUUAUUGGAUUCUACACUCAAGAAGGAGUCCAUAAAAAAUUGGAAUCGGGCUAAAAUAUUCACGGAGCAAGAAGUUAUGAAUUUUACAAGUCAGAGGUUUCUUAGCCCCUCUUUUCCCCUUUCCUUUCGCAGAACCGUAAGUAGAAGGGUCGAUUGUACCAAAGGAAACACACCUGAAGUUCUUGGGACCAGUAACGGGACAUACAAAGAUGUCGAAUGUGGAGCAUGUGUGUUCUUAGCCCCGUACUCGGGAACCCCGGCCGGAAUGGGGGAGAGACGGGUGUUACAUUCCUGAACAAAACCAUAACUGAAAUAGAGUAGUGCGAAACGCAAGUACAAGUGGAUCUGCACAAAACACUAGUAGGGUGACCAGGAGUGCUGUAGAUCAUGGGGUGUGCAUGUGGAACAAGACGUUCCAAUUGGUGGUCGUGCUGAACCAGAUAAACUGAGAGACGCGCUUCAUGUGUUGAAAUCAACUGAAGAUGGAAAUAACCACAUCAACUUAGAUGACUUGGGUUCUGAAGUUGACGGGGCCAACGGGGGUUAUGACCUUAAUCUUGAAAUAUAACAGAUCGCCCUUGACCUUUUAUUGUUUCACUAAAUUUUAUACUCGCGCGUAGUAUUAAUAAUAAUUUAGACUAGUUUUGUAAUAACUUUUAAACUAGUUAUUUAAUUUAUUUAUAUAGUUUUCUUAUCUGAAAUAUGAUUUGUUGUUCUCAAUAUUUAUGUCUAUUUAUAACUAUACCCUCUUAUUAGCUAUUUAGUUAUUUGUAUUUAUAAACGUAAUAAUUAUGUUUUUAAGCAUAUUCAUAAAUUUUUGAAAAAUAUUAAUUUUUAUUUAAAAUACUACAUAAAUUGCUUGAUGCAUGUAAACUGUUAAUACAUUAUAAUAUUUAUGAUACAUUUUACAUAGAUUUUAUUUGAAUAACAUAAAUGAUUGAACUAUUUGCAUAAUAUCUAAUUUUAUUUGUAUUUAGAAAGAAACUUUACAGUUAAUGUGUGAUUGUUAUACGUAUGUGAUAGUAUAAAAUUUAUAUUUAAAAUUUAAUCACAAUAAAUAUUUUGAUGAAAUUUAAUUAAUAUUAAAUAGCCUUUGUAAGAUAAUAUAAAAAGUAAAGUAAAUAUAAUGAAUUUAGCUAAUGUUAUGUAACACUUUAUUUAUUGAAUUAUUAAUAUUGAGAAUCUAAAUUAUUAGAUU
This is an RNA transcript of Brassica rapa (field mustard), 6412 nucleotides long. RefSeq lists it as uncharacterized. NCBI's taxonomy places the organism in Eukaryota, Viridiplantae, Streptophyta, Magnoliopsida, Brassicales, Brassicaceae. The record is from RefSeq and is a predicted model, not a curated record.